CGAAGGGUGCAAGCGUUAAUCGGAAUUACUGGGCGUAAAGCGUGCGCAGGCGGUUCGUUAAGUCUGUCGUGAAAGCCCUGGGCUCAACCUGGGAAUGGCGAUGGAUACUGGCGAGCUAGAGUGUGAUAGAGGAUGGCGGAAUUCCCGGUGUAGUGGUGAAAUGCGUAGAGAUCGGGAGGAACAUCCGUGGCGAAGGCGGCCAUCUGGAUCAACACUGACGCUGAGGCACGAAAGCGUGGGGAGCAAACAGGAUUAGAUACCCUGGUAGUCCACGCCCUAAACGAUGCGAACUGGAUGUUGGGCUCAACUCGGAGCUCAGUGUCGAAGCUAACGCGUUAAGUUCGCCGCCUGGGGAGUACGGUCGCAAGACUG
Molecule: ribosomal RNA, 372 nt
Filed under: uncultured organism
Description: bacterial SSU rRNA
Rfam family: Bacterial small subunit ribosomal RNA
Source: RNAcentral